UUUUUGAACGCUAUUUAAUGAGUUGUCAUUGACAUUUCCUUGAAAUAUAACCUCUAAAUUACUACAAGUUGUGAUAUUUUGCAAAACAUAACUAUAAUAACAAUUUGUAAAAAUGCGUUGCACAUAAUAGCAGAUACAUGAUGGAUCCUGAGACGACAAACGAGAAUUUAUUUAAAUUGCAGUGUUUAAUUAAAACCACCGAGAUACAGCAUAGUGUACAAUGCAAACUUGAAAGAAAAUUAUUUUUUGCAUUGG
Molecule: long non-coding RNA, 255 nt
Organism: Wasmannia auropunctata (little fire ant)
Lineage: Eukaryota; Metazoa; Arthropoda; Insecta; Hymenoptera; Formicidae
Exons: 2
Source: RefSeq, a predicted model, not a curated record